Molecule: long non-coding RNA, 2431 nt
Filed under: Homo sapiens (human)
Lineage: Eukaryota; Metazoa; Chordata; Mammalia; Primates; Hominidae
Description: HSALNT0382138
Source: RNAcentral
GAAGCAUUGGCAAAUACAAAAUGGUGUUUAGUUUUCCUUGAGUUAUAUUUGUAUAAAUGUGUAAUAUGUGUUCCAAAAUAGUACGCGAGUCCUAGAAAUCUGAUAUGUCUUGGUUUAUGUUACCAGUCAUAAUCGUAAUGUUAAAUCUUGUAUGCCACAAAAAUAACCAGAUCUCUUUGUGUGGAGACAAAAUGACUCCAUCUUGGAUGUUAAUCCACCAUUGACUUCUGAAUGACCCUAUUUCUGUGAAUGCCUCCUGAUUUCUUCUUAAUUUAUUGUCCUUAGUGUAAGAAUAUGUGCUCACUACAAAUCCCGAUUUUAGAUCAAAGCAACCUUGAUGUUAUCACAUAAAUUAUAGGCUAUGACACAUAUAACAUUCUUGGUGUUCUGGAGGGUUGCCUUGAAUUGUCUUGCUGGAGCAUGUAUACCUUUCCCCUAUGGUAUACAAGCCUUGGGUCUGGGAAGUAACAGUGUAGAUAUCGACCUGUCUUGCAGCCACCCAAGACCACGUUUCUGUCUGUAAGUUCCCCUAAUAAAUCAUCAUAUACCAACAAACUGGAUUUAUCUGCCUCAUUUUUUGGUUUCUUGGCUCCUUUGGCAUUUGAGAACUGCUUUUUACAUACAGAUCUUUCACAGAACACCUUGUCGAUUGCAUCAUUAUUGUGAACUCUCAUAAGAUUUUUAACCAUGGCCAUUUUAAGUCUUGUUGUCCACAGUAAAUUGUUUUACUCUGAUGCUUCUCCUGAAAGACAUUUGCAAGUGUUCUGUCUUCAAGAAGGUUCAUGAAAAAAAUAAAAAGCUUCUGACAGCUACCCUGAAAUAUAGACCUCUGCUAAUGACUUUGAGAUUAUCCAGUUGGACUGUAUAAAAAUUUUAAUAAUUCCAAUGGAAAAAGCUGGACUCAUAAAACUGUGAACUCAACCAGCAGAAUAAGAAUUACAUGGGCAUCAACUGAUUAAGGAUUAUGAUAUUUUAUGGCUUUAGGUUUGAACAUUACUGAUUCUUUUUGUUUUGUUUUCCAAAGUUAAGGAGCUUCCUUUUAUUCCUCUUAAAGUUUACAGCAAUUGGGUAUAGUUUUGUGAACAAAAUUGAAACAUUUGCCUUUCUCUCUACCUUAUCCCUCCAAAAUGUUGAAAUUCAUGAAUAUUCUUAUUUUAUGGUAAUGUAGUUAUUUGCAUAAGCUCAGUAAGAAUCUGUUCUUCUUGUAACAGAACACAAUUGGAAACACUGGUUAUUUUACCAAGGCCUUGACUGGAAUGUCAUAUUUUCAUCUAUGACCAGACAGCUUUACAGAACGGAGGCUGACAUUAUGAAGCCAAUAGAAGCCCUGGGAAAAACUGGCCUAGUACCUUACAUACACAUUUCUUAUGGCUGCCCCGUGUCACUAGCUCAUCUGUUAACAUGUGAAAUGUCCAGGAAACUCUGAGCUCAGAAACGAAUAUCCCAAAAUGUGGCACUUUGAUGUGCUAAAGAAGCAACCUCAUGGUCUUUCUGAUCUCCCUGCUCCUGCUUCUCAACCCUCCAUCUCUCCCAAAGGAAAGGAUGAAGCUGUUCUUUGAAGCUCUCUUAUUUGCCCAAAGUCAAGACCCACCAAAGAAAAUAACUACCUCUGCCCCUUCCCUUAGUUUUCAUUAACUUAACUCAUAUUGAGGAAGAAAGAUUCAAGUCUGUCAAUACACCUGGACAGACUUUUGUCACAAACCACUGUCUUCUAUUCUGGUCCUAUUCAGUAUUUCAAAGAGAAUCAUUUACCACCCAUUGUCUGCUCUGUGGGCCCAACAGACUUUGUCCCAGGCCACUGUGUAUUUUCCAAGUCCAUUAAUUUCCCCCUAACAAUCGUUUACUAUCCUCAAAUUGCCACAUAUUCCCAUCUCUUUCCUCUAUGGAGAAGGGUAUAUAAACAUCUGUAUCCCAUUGAGCUACUGGGCUGUCAGAUUCUCCUCCGAUUUUCCUGUGUCACGCAUUUUACAAUAAAUGUCGUAUGCCUUUUCUCCUUUUAACCUGCCUUUUGUCAGUGAACCUUCAGAGGAGGAAGUGGGAAGCUUGGCCCCUACAGCAGCAUGACUGGUAAUGGUAAAAGACUGGAAACAACCAACAUGUACAUCACAGUUAGAUAAAUGAUGGUUGUUCCUAGUGUGCGAUACCAUACAAAUGUAAAAUGAAUGAGCAUGUUCUCUAGAUAUUGAAACAGAAAGCUCUCUAACACAUGCUAAGGAAGACAAGCAAGGGAAGAGCAGUGUCUGUAAAACGCUCCUGUAUGUGUCAAAAAGAGGGGGAAGAUAAUAUGAAUUGGCUUGUAGAUGUAGAAAAAUAUCUGCAUUAAAAAAGAAAUUAUCAACCACUGGUUAUUUCCUGUUGGGGCCCUGGGGAACUGAGUAGUUUUGAUGUUUGAGUCAUAUAAAUGUAGUAUCUAUUAAAAAUAUGAAACAAA